Astatotilapia calliptera (eastern happy) is the source of this 2892-nucleotide long non-coding RNA. The record is from Ensembl. NCBI's taxonomy places the organism in Eukaryota, Metazoa, Chordata, Actinopteri, Cichliformes, Cichlidae.
GCAGCGCUCAGAUGUCUUGCCAAGAAGAACGCAGAUGCCUAUUGAAGCAGAACUGUGAGCCAGGGUCUUCUGUUUCUCCCAAAAUGACACAGCGCUUUUGUAAUCAGCCGUUGGUGUUUCGCUGUCACUCAAGAUUUCAUCACGCAGUCCGAGAUGUCUCCGAGGACUUGGAUGUGGCUAACUGUGAAUAAUAUGUUAUGCAUGUAAAUAGAAAUUAAAAGACUGGCAUGCAUAAAUUACAGCUUUAUUUCACUAAAACCCCACAACAAAGGCUAUUCAAGUCUUUGGGGGUCAUGUGUUUUUUUAGGUCUAUCUCUCCCUCUUUGCCACUUCUAAAGCUGUUGUCUCACUCCCUCGACCUCCCUCACGUUCUCUCCUCCCUCCAUCUUUAUCUCCAAGUUCAUUCAUACUUGGACUGGCCACAUAUCGAGUUUCUGUCCAGACACACCCACAAACUGCCAGCAACGCUCGGCCUGAACUCUAAAGAAAUGUCUAUCAAAAGUCAAGCAAACGGGUGGAGCCGCGCGCAACAACAAUGGCGGCAGGAGUGACCUCUUGACAGACUUACAUCGCCAAGAGUAAUUGCCUGUCAUGUGCCGUACUGUUUCACAUUUCACAUAAAAGUCGUCUCUGUUAUUCAUUUAAAGUUAAGCCGGGGUGGCCAAGGUCGCCACACUUGUCCUGUAAAGAGAGGGAUAAUUGAACACCACACCUUCUCUCCGGACUGCCACGGGAUGGAGUGACAGCAGAGUCAAGAAUGAGUGGAGGUUAAGAAGAUAGGCAUUUGAAUUUGAAUGCGUCUUGUAAGAUGUGUUGGUGGUGUUUGAGUGUUUACAUAGUUGUGCGUGGGCUCAGGGUGACUCUUUAUCCUGCUUGUCAUUUUCCCUAGUGUUAGUUCUCAGUCCCUCCUCUUCCUCCUCCUACCAUCUAACACUGGAGGAAAACAGAGGAGAAAUGCCAUCCUUUUCGUCUUUAAAGCAGUGCCUAUUUUUUUCUUUUUUUGAUAAACCUUGGCCCAAGCAGCAUAAAAUGCUCAUAACAGGCAGCUAUUGUUGGGGUUUGAUGUUUUGCCCAACAGUUAUUGCAUGCAGUGCACAGUAUGUGAAUUCACAGCUGCAAUUUUUUACUCUGUAAUUCAAAAUGUGAUCGACAUGCCUAUUUCAGCUACAAGACUAAGUGAAUAAAAAUGAAAUCAUUAAGGGAUGUGUGUAUUUUAUAUUCUGCAUUGAUAUAUGAUACCUUCAAGCCAUUCAUUAAUAGAUGUUUCAAGCAGAUGUGUUUUAUUAAAGUCUGUGCUCAUGAAAAAUGUCAUCAUUAAGUCCCCCCCCCCAUAACAGAACUUGUUCAAUGCUCAUAACAGCUCCAACUUUGCAGAGAUACUGCUGUUAGGGAAAGAAGUUGUAUUAAAAAGAUUUACACUGUGACGCCACCUGUUGGUUUGAGGCCUGUGGCUGUCUACAUUUUGAGUUUUUUGGAACCAGAAGUGACCAGAAUGCUACAGUAACUUAUUGGCCAGUAUUAAAGUAUUACAGUUCUGUGCAAAGGUCCAGAACCACACUCAUUUCUUUAUAUUUUUGCUUCCAAUAGCCAGACUUUCUUGAUAUUUUUUAAAAGUGGUUUUAAGCAAUAGUAUAUCUUGGUUUCUGAGAUGUUGUACUUCAUUUUUCAGCAUGACAGUGACUCUGAAAGAACUGGAAUACACACUACGUUGAUGGGCAUUUAAAGUUAAACACACAGCUAGCAUUUGCAUGACAGAUAAUUGCAUUAAAAAUGCCCGAAAAUCCACAAACACCAUGAAUGUGGUCGAGAGGUCCAAUUUAAUGACGUGAGUUAGUUGAGGUGACACUAAGCAAACUGCAAGGUGCUAAGCCUGCCUUUGCUGGCAGCCAUUCAAAGUACCACACCCCUAUUAAUGCAUAACUUAGAGCCUUAAUACAGUCUAAAAGGGUGAGACAAAAAUAUUUACCCCUUGUACAUUUUUUAAGGGAUAAAUUGGCAAUAAAAGACCAGAAUUUUUUUUUUUUUUUUUUUUACGAGGCUGUUGUUUUGCUCUAAAGUUGGGUAUUCUGGAGUUUUAACCCUAACCCUAACACCGAUAUUUUGAAGAAAGGCAAAAUGGGAACAGUUUUUUUAAGUGUAUCACUUACAGUGAUUAUUGUCUUUGUUCCCUGACAACCAGGACUCGGGAGAACAAGUGUAAAACACACAAAAUUACAUAUUCGGAUCACCUGGAGUUAGAAUCAGGUUUAGGGUUGGGACUGUCACCGAUGACUUAAACCUCUGAGUGGGAACAGUGGAGUUUAUAGGGUUUGACUUUCUCUUGGAACAAGCCUCAAGUGGCUUGUAGGAGAACUUGUUUUUGGCUUUUCUAUUCCUGUUUCAUUUUUCAGCUCUCGAGGUUGUCACUUGCUGUUAAAUCAAAGUUUGAAUUAAAGGCAUUAAUACAGGAACUGAAAAAGCUGCAGCUCAAAAACAUCCCUGGGUCUUUACUCCUGUGAAUUUAAGGUUCUGUAACAAAUACAAACUAAAUACUAGUGCUGUGUAAUACUGCAAACUUUGGCAUCAGCUAAUAAUAAGUAAAUAAAGGGCCCCUAUUUGUUGAUACCAAUACAGAUAGCAAUAUUUUAAACGUAUAAAGGCAGCUUAUGUAGGGCAGAGCAGCAUGUCAUGACUUCUGAAAUGAAUCACCAUCAAUUUGCAGAUUCUGAACACAUUUUAAUGAACACUAAAUUACUGUGAUUUUUUUCUUUCCACAGUAAUUAGUUAACACAACAAAAUACACCUUUGAGCUUUUCAUGUAUUUUGAAACUGGGCUAUUUUGUAAACCUGGAAUAUAAAUGUGCCUGUCUCUAAAGAACUUUGGCUUAACUUGUGUUGUUAUAAUGUGCUAUA